AGCGAGCUCCACCAAUCAAAGACGUCGUGUCCUGAAUUACUAGGCCCACAGACCCACAGUCCUGAAGAGGUAGGCUCUCAAUUAAUUUUAGAUUAAUUUAGGCUAAAUAAACAGGCAUAUUUCUUCAAUCCUUUUUGAAAAACAUGGCCAGCUCCGGCCAGAAGCGUUUGGUCCUUCUUUAAGAGGCCCAUGGUCUGGUCACCCUACUUUGUUAGCAUUUGCUUUCCGUAAGCCAUUACCAGGAUUUCUCGGCUACAUUCGCCGCUGAAUUAUCUGCGUGUUUGUAGACAUAUUUCUGUGUUGUUACUGGCACUCGUUUUGUAUAAGCGACUAUACGGAACACAUUGGAAAUGUUUGGAAAGUAAUUCAAAGUGUACUCCCUUCACAUCAACAGGAGCUAGGCUACUUUCGGCUAACGGAAGGCAAAUGCUAACCUCACGAGCUCCCCUCCUGGGCGCACAAUGAUGAAAUUGGAUUUAAACGACCAUUUGGAAUCUGGCGUGUUGCGGUGACUGCGACUGGAUGCCUUGACUCUCCUCAUGGUUACCCGGCCAGCUCUGUGUUCCUUCUCAAGAUUUCCUCCUUGCUAAUUAAGACCAACUCUGCACGGUCCCCAGGUUUCCUGAUGAGUUCUGAGGGAGUCUGAUGGACUUCAAUACCCAGAGACACCCCUGGAGAAAGACAAGAAGAGACUAGCAUUGUGAACCGCUCUUCAGUAACAUGCUCUAACAUGAAAUAUUGUACAGAGUUUAAACCCAUAAUGCAAAAUGACAUUAAAUAUCCUAUAGUAUACGUUCAUCAAUCUCAUAAUUAUCAUAUAAUAUAAUGGUUGACAAUAUUUCCUAAUGGAUUAUUAAACUGAUUCUAGUUAUUACCUGUGAAGUAAAGUAUACACAGGAGUCUCAUUUCAACUGAUGCUGCCCUUUGCUAUCCAGUAGAAGCUAAGGUAUUGCAAACCAUUGUGUAUGAAGCCAAUAGUUGUGUGAGGCGGUCAGGCGGAGCAGGAAGUGAUGUCCCCAGACACUGGUUGGUAUACCAAUGUUUCGGUAGAGAUAUGGGAGGGAAUUGGCACAUUGCUCUCCUGGGUCUCCUGGGAACAUCUGGCAACCAUUACCAUUUCAUUAGCUUAAGGCAAUAACAUAAUAUAUAUAGGCUAUGUGUCCUUCAAUAAAUAUCGCGAUAAACGCAAUAAUUCUGAUGAUUGAAGUAGAAAUGGUUUCAGUAGGGUAAAUUGCAAUCCGAUCAAAGGUCUGCUAAGUUUCUUGGUUUCAUUGGUUUGUGGAUAUGUUUGAUAUGAAUUCUCAAUUACAAAGACAUUUCAUCUAUUGUUUACUUUAAAAUUACACUGGUGGAAAUUGUUCUUAAACGUCUACUUCAACUAGAGAAAAGACAUACAAGCACACCCACGUACCCCAUUUUAUUUUUAUUUUCAGCCACCAUGUGCCUUGUAUAACAUCUUGCCAAAGGACUACAGUUGAAAAUUAGCCUGCUGGCUAACACUGGCACAUUUACAGAAAUGUUGAUCAAUGUGCACUGUCCUUUAAAUAAAUAAAUAAAUGAAAAAUGAAUGGGUCUACGGUAAAUGCUUUAUCGGCAGUAGUUUGGUCAGUAAGAUCUUCCCUUAAAUAAUAAUGUAAUAUUAUGUUGUUUAUGUCCCAAAGUAAGCUAACCAUGUGGGUUUAGUCACUUGGCUCCAGACUGAAGCAUUUCCCAUAGUGAACCAAAGGUUGUGUGUUGUAAAGUCCCUGUUAGUUGGUCAUAUCGUAUUGCGUAUAUAUAUAUAUAAAAUGUGUAUAUUGUUAUUUCUAUUCAGGCACUUGAGACAGCCCAGGUAGCGCCGUAGGGUCCUAGAGUUUUACUAGGUGCACGGGAUUGCAUAACCCGCCAUGACAGAGAAUGCGUUCGUGAAGAGUGAGUUAAUACUGAACGACGUAUAUUUACGUAUAUUUAUGUAGGAUGAAUGUUGUAUGCAGUCCGCAAUUCUGUUCCAUAUAGUGGCCUUGAUUUUGUGUGUUUGAGCUGGCUUCUGCUAUUGUGUUAGUUGAUUCACUCACUAAUCGAGCAGCUAGUGUAUAAGUCUGCACCGCGUGUAGACAUUGCAUAUGUGUACGUCACUCUGCUGCGCCGUUGUCGGCUGUUAUAUUGUACUGUGUUAACGUGUGUAUGUGGAAGCUAUUCAUGCAAGUUAUGUUUAUAUAGCAUUCAUGGGAUGUUGUUAGUACUAAAGCCCGGUGCUUUAGUAUGUGAAUCUUGUAAUAAUUAUUUGUCUAUUUUCUUACUGUCUUACAGAAAACCAUUCACAUUUAUUUAUUCAUUCCUUCAUUCAUUUGAUUAUUCAUUAAAGCCAUCAUUGAUGUAAUUCGCCUAUUCAAGAUAUAUAAACAACAAAAACUGUGUAUGCGUCUACUCUCUGACCGGAGUUGCCGUCUUGAUAAAGUGGUCCCAGCACACACACGCACAUUCUUCAAUAUUGUGUUUCUGGCACUAAAUGAGAGCGGAGAUCCAGCUGAUGCUAUAGCAGUUGCUGCAGGUGCAGGGAGGUUAAUCAGAUGAAUUAUUAGACAACGAGUUAUUGUACGGUGAACCCCUAAUAUGCUGCAUUGUGGAUACUAGCAGCACAGAAAUACACAGCGCUGCUCUCCAUGCUGAUGUUCUGUAUCGUUAACAUGGCAAUUUGAUCUUUUUCAGCACUCCCACUCAUUGCAACAGCCAUUUCUUUUUCGGGUUUUGCUUCCUUCAAGAAUAUGUACCCCAGGAACUGGAGCUGUUUAUUGUUGCGUUGUUGCUUAUACCAGAGUAUUUGGUUGUAGUCCUCAAUGCUGUGGGAGCAUUUCAGUGUGGCCAUUGCUCUUGACUCAAUGGCCACAACCAUCUCGGGCGGAGUUCGGUGAACCUUGUCGCUAUUAGAUGCACCUAUGGAGAAAAUAAGAACCAAAGAGGCAAAAUUGAAAUGUGGGGACUGGAUACAGUCAUUAGUAUUCAGAUGUGGAGGAUCUGCUUUAGUCGUGGAGAACUAGUCACAAAUGUAACAUUGUAGAAUGUCCAACAAUGAAGCCAAAUAAAGAAGCAUUUAAGGAAAGUACCUGAGACGACCGUAAAUGAAAUUGUUAGAGCGAGGAAUGUGAUUGUCAACAUAUUUGUCUCGUGAUCAGUCGAUGCUAGUUAGCUUGUGACUGAUCCUAAUAAACACAACCCUAAUUCAGUACAUUUCCUAAGUGCGAUAACCUUUCAACUUGCAUCGUUUUGAUGGCAGUGGCUCCUAUUUCCAUCUCGCAACCAUACCGGAACCCAAGUGUGGGAGGAGCCAUUUUGUGUAAAUGUUUAGAAUAGAGGAAGUGAUGCCAUCAGAAUGUCUAACCGUACAGCACUGAUGUUCACCUAGACUCAGUAUUUGCCAUCCAGUCCCCUCCUCCCACUAUUGUAUGAUGUACGUCCUAGCACCUCAUUUGCGCACUUAAUGUAUGUUGUUUUUAUUCAUAGUACCUAAUUGUAUAGCAUCUGCAUUAGCUAGCUCACUGCAACAGCGAAUGGGUUAACCUUGCGAUUGUUAGUACUUGUGCUUGGUUUGUGAAAAUCCUUACUGCACAGACAGUGAUAUAUUGUUUCACUUCUUAUGAAUGUACUUAUUGUAAGUCACUUUGGAUAAAAGUGCCCAAAAUGUAAAUGUAAAUGUAUGGUGGUGACAUUUUUUGUAGAGACUGGAACAGUUGGAUAUAGAAAAAAAUUAUUGCUAACCCUGAAAAGAUCGCUUUCAGUUUUGUUGAGGAAAAUCCCUGUAGUAUGUACAAUAAUGAAGACAAAUCGGACUAAAUCGUGGGAAAGAAGCUGAGACAACCGUAAACUUAAUUAUUUGAAUACAGUAUCUCCUAUUUCCACCUCACAAUCGUACCGAAAUGACAAAUGUGGGAGGAGACAUUUUGUGUAAAUAUUUAGAAGAGAGAAGGUAAUGCUAUCAAAAUGUUAAAAAUGUCAUCCCUGAUCUGUUAAAUUUUCUUUUUUUAUUGUAACUUCAACACAAACCAAUUAAAGAACACCCCCUAGUGCUGGGUAUUUGUAUUUUGUAUCCACCAAAUGUACCCCUCCACACUCCUCCUCCCCUUCCCAGAUUCAACACGUCAGCAGGAAACAGGGUUUUUACCCUCUUGUGGUAACAUAAGGGUUUUUGUAGCAGCGUACGUUGGUUCUUCAUCACAGUGCAUUCUGGCUGCACAGUAAUACUCUCCCGUGUCCUCCGGGCUCCUCGGCUUCAGCAGCUCCAGUCUAGACCACUUCUCUCCAUCCCCGUCGACAGAGAAGAUGCCUGUAAAGUUAGCCUCGAUGGUCAGCUGCUUGUAAUAGACAGUGGCGAUGAGUUCCAGCCGGUUGCUUCCUUGCGAGCGCUGGUACCAGAGGAUGGUGUAAUGGUUGGGGAUUUGAUGCGCGCAGGACAGGUUCACUCCGCGGCUGUUCUGCUCUUCCAGCACGGCUGCUGGAGUCUGGUCCACCUGGUGCUGUUGGGACGCUGCCAAACGAGAAGAUCCAUGAAGUUAUACCUCACACUGAAGAAGCUAGACUUCACAGACAACUCUGUCUAACCAACCCGUUUUUUAGUUUAGAGAACGUAUCUUGUAUAUUCUUGCGUGCCUUCACCUAGACUAAAUCCAUAAUUGGAUUUUGAAUUGAUCUUAUGUGAUUUCAAACUCCAAUUCUAUUUUCUCUCCCCUCCA
Molecule: long non-coding RNA, 4706 nt
Organism: Gadus chalcogrammus (walleye pollock)
Lineage: Eukaryota; Metazoa; Chordata; Actinopteri; Gadiformes; Gadidae
Exons: 3
Source: RefSeq, a predicted model, not a curated record